Salmo trutta (river trout) is the source of this 119-nucleotide ribosomal RNA. Lineage: Eukaryota; Metazoa; Chordata; Actinopteri; Salmoniformes; Salmonidae. The record is from Ensembl.
ACAUGUGGCCAUAUCACCCUGAACAUGCUUGAUCUCGUCUGAUCUCAGUGGCUGAGCAGAGUUGGGGCUGGUUAGUAUUUGGAUGGGAGACCACCUGGGAAUGCCAGUUGCUGUAAGCG